CCUACGGGUGGCAGCAGUGGGGAAUAUUGGACAAUGGGGGAAAGCCUGAAGCAGCGAAGUCGCGUGAGGGAAGAAGGACCUAGGGGUGGAAAGCUCCAUUAGUAGGGGAGAAAAUGACGGUACCUGUUGAAGAAGCUCCGGCUAACGACGUGCCAGCAGCCGCGGUAAUACGUAGGGUGCAAGCGUUAUACGGAUGUACUGGGUGUAAAGGGAGCGUAGUCGGGAGCACAAGGUUGGAGGGAAAUGCCGGGGCUUAACCCCGGCACGGCUUUGGAAACUGUGCAGCUUGAGUGCAGGAGAGGUAUGUGGAAUGCGUGGUGUAGCGGUGAAAUGCAUAGAUAUCAGGCAGAACUCCGAUGGCGAAGGCAGCAUACUGGAGUGUAACUGACGCUGAAGCUCGAAAGCGUGGGUAGCGAACAGGAUUAGAUACCCCUGUAGUC
Molecule: ribosomal RNA, 440 nt
Filed under: uncultured bacterium
Lineage: Bacteria
Description: partial 16S ribosomal RNA
Rfam family: Bacterial small subunit ribosomal RNA
Source: RNAcentral